Molecule: ribosomal RNA, 1005 nt
Filed under: bacterium HTCC8038
Lineage: Bacteria
Description: bacterial SSU rRNA
Rfam family: Bacterial small subunit ribosomal RNA
Source: RNAcentral
CAAGUCGAACGAAGUAGCAAUACUUAGUGGCAGACGGGUGAGUAACAUGUAGGUAUCUGCCCUUUGGCCUGGAAUAACACGAGGAAACUUGUGCUAAUACCGGAUAAGUCUUUACGGAGAAAGCUUUAUGCACCAUUGGAUGAGCCUGCACUUGAUUAGUUUGUUGGUGGGGUAAUGGCCUACCAAGACUGUGAUCAAUAGCUGAUUUGAGAGGAUGAUCAGCCACAUUGGGACUGAGACACGGCCCAAACUCCUACGGGAGGCAGCAGUGGGGAAUCUUGCACAAUGGAGGAAACUCUGAUGCAGCGAUGCCGCGUGAGUGAAGAAGGCCCUUGGGUUGUAAAGCUCUUUCGUCGGGGAAGAAAAUGACUGUACCCGAAUAAGAAGGUCCGGCUAACUUCGUGCCAGCAGCCGCGGUAAUACGAAGGGACCUAGCGUAGUUCGGAAUUACUGGGCUUAAAGAGUUCGUAGGUUGUUAAAAAAGUUAGUGGUGAAAUCCCAGAGCUUAACUCUGGAACUGCCAUUAAAACUUUUUAGCUAGAGUAUGAUAGAGGAAAGCAGAAUUUCUAGUGUAGAGGUGAAAUUCGUAGAUAUUAGAAAGAAUACCAAUUGCGAAGGCAGCUUUCUGGAUCAUUACUGACACUGAGGAACGAAAGCAUGGGUAGCGAAGAGGAUUAGAUACCCUCGUAGUCCAUGCCGUAAACGAUGUGUGUUAGACGUUGGAAAUUUAUUUUCAGUGUCGCAGGGAAACCGAUAAACACACCGCCUGGGGAGUACGACCGCAAGGUUAAAACUCAAAUGAAUUGACGGGGACCCGCACAAGUAGUGGAGCAUGUGGUUUAAUUCGAAGAUACGCGCAGAACCUUACCAACACUUGACAUGUUCGUCGCGACUUUAAGAGAUUAGAGUUAUCGGUUCGGCCGGACGAAACACAGUGCUGCAUGGCUGUCGUCAGCUCGUGUCGUGAGAUGUUGGGUUAAGUCCCGCAACGAGCGCAACCCUCAC